RNAcentral lists this ribosomal RNA (257 nucleotides) under uncultured bacterium. Its description in RNAcentral is "partial 16S ribosomal RNA". It matches the Rfam family "Bacterial small subunit ribosomal RNA", at positions 524 to 776 of the family's 1533-position model. The record is from RNAcentral.
UACGUAGGGUGCAAGCGUUAAUCGGAAUUACUGGGCGUAAAGCGUGCGCAGGCGGUUUUGUAAGUCAGAUGUGAAAUCCCCGGGCUUUAACCUGGGAACUGCGUUUGAAACUACAAGACUAGAAUAUGUCAGAGGGGGGGUAGAAUUCCACGUGUAGCAGUGAAAUGCGUAGAGAUGUGGAGGAAUACCAAAUGGCGAAGGCAGCCCCCUGGGAUAAUAUUGACGCUCAUGGCACGAAAGCGUGGGGAGCAAACAGG